Molecule: ribosomal RNA, 240 nt
Filed under: uncultured bacterium
Lineage: Bacteria
Description: partial 16S ribosomal RNA
Rfam family: Bacterial small subunit ribosomal RNA
Source: RNAcentral
AGUGGCGAACGGGUGAGUAACACGUGAGUAACCUGCCCUUGACUCUGGGAUAAGCCUGGGAAACUGGGUCUAAUACCGGAUAUGACUCCUCAUCGCAUGGUGGGGGGUGGAAAGCUUUUUGUGGUUUUGGAUGGACUCGCGGCCUAUCAGCUUGUUGGUGGGGUAAUGGCCUACCAAGGCGACGACGGGUAGCCGGCCUGAGAGGGUGACCGGCCACACUGGGACUGAGACACGGCCCAG